Molecule: long non-coding RNA, 3094 nt
Filed under: Ovis aries (sheep)
Lineage: Eukaryota; Metazoa; Chordata; Mammalia; Artiodactyla; Bovidae
Description: lncRNA (ENSOARG00000026186.1)
Source: RNAcentral
AUGUGUGUGACCGUCACGGUGGUGGCAAUGAAGACGAUGAUGACUGUACGACGCUCUUCUCGUGCUGCAGGCAGCGAGAACACACCUGUGCGCUCUGAACUUCACAUCCUCGACCACAAUCGCGAUGUCGCAAAAUUCUCCUUCCAAGCGUUGCUCGUUGAGUGUUUUCAGAAACAGAGUUUUAUGGUCAUCGUCAUUAUAUUUAAUGGUUUCAGACAUACUGAUGAAAAACUCCUACAAGAAAAUGUUUAUAAAGAAAAAGAAUUUUGGUCAUUAUGGACAGUACUUUUCCAUAUAAAAAUUUCAGGGAGAUUUCAUUUUCUGAUCACUUUCCGGUCCCUAACAAUUUCAGAAAGUCACUGUCAGGAGGGGUUCAAGAAUAGGAGGAGAAAAGACAGAUCCAAAUUUAGGGAUUUCCACAGUUCCUUCUACUUAUCUUCACUGUAGUCAGCUUAUGCUUACUCAUAAUAACAACUCCUACUGAGCACGCAAUACGUGCCUGGCAUUGUGCUACACGCUUUUCAUGUCUUCACAAAGGCAGUGAUCAAGUGACCUUGAGAGAUAGGCAUUGUUAUUACCCUACUUUACCAAUGAACUGAGGAACCUGCCCAAUAUUCUAGCUAUUUAGUGGACCAACAGGGCUCUAGCUCUAGCAAAUCCAGGCACUCUAGCUCCAAAACCAGUGCUUCAACUAGAGGUAAUAAUGACAACUCAGCUUCAAGGUUUAAGAAAACCGUCUCUGGCAAGCAUCUGCCAGAGCCCUCUGCUGUGUCUAAUUUCAUGCCGAGGAAGAUUCAGUAAAGUAACUAGCAGCUCUCAAGGUUCUGCUUCCUUGACGGAAGAGACAGAUCACUCCUGCAGACCCAGGGAGGGAAAUCAUUUCCAGAACACUCCAUUCAGUGUUGUCCUCUAGUUUUUUCACACCAGUGUUGGGCCACUUCUGAACAAGGGGCAAGGUUUAAUAGGACCCUCAGAGAAUCAGAUGACAUUUGGGAAGGCAGUGACAAGCAGCUUCAUUCCCCACUGGAUGCCAGUCUAUCUGUCAUCUGGAUCAAAGUGUCAUCAGAACUGGAUGCACUUGACAAGUGAGGCGGGGGUUUUAUGAGAAAAAGAAAUAGAACUGGCACAGAAGACAUCUGCCACUUGUUAAAGAAGUGAUCUUUUUAAAAUUAAUGUGUCCUAGGUGUUUCUUUUCAAAAACCUUGCUUUCCUUUUAUUCGACCAAGCAUUAAGUAUGAGGAAAGUACCUAGUCCCCUAAAGAACGCUAAUACAUAACUGAGAGACAUUUUAAAGCUGACACCAAUAAGAUUCUAAAGACUUAAUAUGCAAAGUCAUAGUUACCAUGAACAACUCAGGCUAUUAUCUUAAUGCUUUGAACACCAAAAUCUUCAGAUCAGAAUAACUCUGAUCAGGGGCACGCCAGUCCUACAAGAGAAAAGGACAUACAAGAGUAAAGUUGGCUCUUUCCUCAUCCCCAGUUGCAAACAAGAAUGUUUUCAAAAAUUGAUUUUUAAAAAGAAACUUUCCUUUUUUGUCCUGUCACUGGCACCUGUACCCAUUUUCAGGUUGGGAACAAAGAGGAGGGUGGCUGGCAGCGUCGGGUUCAGCUCUGAACAGAUAUGAAGGAGAAAAGGUAAGGGCUGGAGCACUGGCAGCCUGGAGGGGGUGUGCGACAGGAAUGGGAAGGAUGGGCUGGGGAACCACUAAGGGAUUUCCCCUCACAAAGCCUCUGUCUGUAUUUGCAAGGAUGAUUGCUGCACAGAUAGAGUAAAAGCUGGUAAAUACCUCAUUCCCCUACCAUUUCCUGCUGGAUACACAGCCUUCCACAUUUUUUUCGGCUUGGCUUAUAUAAACAUAGACUAUUUAUUUUUUACAUCGAUAAAUAUAGACAAAGUUAAGAAAAGUACAUAUACUCAACAGUUAAAAGUGGGGGAGAGGGAAUAGUAGCCGUUUACUUCUGUCCACUCUUCUGUAUGAUGUAGUGUGCUGCUGUUGCUGCUAAGUAGGCAAGAACACUGGAGUGGGCUGCCAUUUCCUUCUCCAAUGCAUGAAAGUGAAAAGUGAAAGUCAAGUCCCUCAGUCGUGUCCGACCCUCAGUGACCCCAUAGACUGUAGCCUUCCAGGCUCCUCCGUCCAUGGGAUUUUCCAGGCAAGAGUCCUGGAGUGGGGUGCCAUUGCCUUCUCCGAUGAUGUAGUAUAUAGUUACUUAAAUCACUCUGGUCUUGAAGCUUGCAUUAGAGAACUCCAGGUGUGUCUGCCUCUAUCCCUACAGGGAAGCUCAAAGGAUUCUAGGUUUUUUCCAGUUUAAACUCCAUUCUGCAGACCAACAUCCUGAAAAACAUCAAGCCUUCUCUAUUGAACGGUGACCACACAAACUUGAGCGUGGCAGAACCAGAGUCCCGAAAACCCUCUACAGAAAAGCAAAAACAUCAUUAAGGUGUCUAAAGUGGCAGGCUGUUUUCUUACUUGCCAAGUGCGAGGACUGGGCAGAAUAAUUUCUAAGGGUGCACCCCAGCCUGAGGCCACCCCCAAGGGAAGGCAGCCUUCCUACCGGGUUACUUCCUACAGUCGCUCUCUCUGGAGCUUGUGGGAUAAAGGUGCAUGGACCAGGCACAGGAGAGGCGUACGGUACCCAUGGCAACAUACUUAGAUUUUUUUUUUAAGCCUAUGUGUUAUUUGGUCCCACUCCCUCUCUCCAUAUCUCCAUUUUCCCCCCUCUGUUGAGAUGUUCCCAUUGCUAAGUUCAGGUGAGUCAAACGGGAAGAUCCCCGUUGCCAGUAUCCCUACAGGUGGAGGACAAGAUGCCGCUCCAACCACACCUCCUGGACGAAGCUGCCCCUGCAUGUCGAUUCUCCAAAGCGCCGGCGCGGGGGCCCCGGCUAAGCCGAAACUACAGAAGCCCCCGGCCCCCCGCCCGCCCGCCCCCCCGCCCCCGGGGCCGCCGCGACAAUGGCGGCGGCACCACUUCCCGGUCAAGAGCUCGCCGCUUCUGGAUGGGAAGGGAGCAAGGAACUGAGCGCAUGACCCGGGCCACCUCCGGAACCUCUCCGAGCCUCGCUACCAUCCCGCUCAGCCCGGGAGGUGGGGGACGGG